Molecule: non-coding RNA, 4517 nt
Organism: Candidatus Nomurabacteria bacterium CG2_30_43_9
Lineage: Bacteria; Candidatus Nomuraibacteriota
Source: Rfam
UAACAGGAAAUAUAAGAGCAUAUGGUGGAUGCCUUGGUUCUAAGAGGCGAUGAAAGACGUAGCAUGGCUGCGAUAAGCUUCGGGGAGGUGCCUAGCAACCUUUGAUCCGGAGAUUUCUGAAUGGGGAAACCCCAUAACCGUAAUAGGUUAUGACCUACAUUUAAAUGUAGGAGUAUACCCAGGGAAGUGAAACAUCUCAGUACCUGGAGGAAAAUAAAAAAAGCCGCCGAAUGGCGGAACAUUUCCUGAGUAGCGGCGAGCGAAACGGAAAUAGCCCAAACCUACUAUUUAUAGUAGGGGUUGUAAGGCAGAGACGUCGUAUUUAUACGAGAGGAGUUACAAAAUGUAAUGUUAGUUGAAUAUGCUGGAAAGCAUAGCCCUAGACGGUGAUAGCCCAGUAAACGAAAACCUUACAUCUUCUUUGUCUUUGUUCUUGAGUACUUCGAGACACGAAUAGCUCGGGGGAAUCUACCAGAACUAACUGGUAAGGCUAAAUACUCUUAGAAACCGAUAGUGAACUAGUACCGUGAGGGAAAGGUGAAAAGAACCCCGGUGAGGGGAGUGAAAUAGAACUGAAACCAUAUGCUUACAAGGAGUCGGAGCCCCCCACCACUCGUGGUGGGGGGUGACGGCGUGCCUAUUGAAGAAUGAGCCAACGAGUUAAUGUAUACAGCGUGGCUAAGCCCUUGUCGGGUGGAGCCUUAGGGAAACCGAGUGUGAAUAGCGCGUUUGUUGUAUGCAUUAGACCCGAAGCCAGAUGAGCUUACCAUGAGCAGGGUGAAGUUUGUAGAAAUACAGAUGGAGGCCCGAACCGGUUGGCCGUGCGACACCAUCGGAUGACUUGUGGUAAGGAGUGAAAAGCUAAUCGAAUCUGGUAAUAGCUGGUUCUCUCCGAAAUAUGUUUAGGCAUAGCGUCUAGCGUACCCUCUGGGGGUAGAGCACUGGAAGGACUGAACAGGGAGCAAUCUCGUCAGUCCUAUCAAACUCCGAAUACCAGAGAUAGGCCCACCACAUAAUAAUUUUUCGUUGCGAAACGAAAAUUUUUAGCGGAAAUCAUGAAGCGUGAUGAGCCUAUGCGAGCAUAGGCGACGAGCGAUGAAUGAUUUGUAGCAAAAAUUUUAAGUUGUAGCAGAAAAGAUUGUUGUGUGGUGGGCCCAAAUACUAGGCAGUAAGACUACGGGGGCGAAGCUCCGUCGGUCAAAAGGGAAACAGCCCUGAUCUCAAGUUAAGGUCCCAAAAUUUACGCUAAGUGUACUUAAGGAGGUGGAGUUUCUCAGACAGUGAGGAUGUUGGCUUAGAAGCAGCCAUCAUUUAAAGAAAGCGUAACAGCUCACUCACUAAGAGACUCUGCACCGAAGAUAAUCGGGGCUAAGCGUAGUACCGAAACUGAGGGUUCUCUCGUCUUUCGAGAUGGGGGAGCGGUAGGAGAGCGUUCAUGUCUGCGCUGAAGGAGAAGUGUGAGCAACUCUGGAGCGGCAUGAAGUGAGAAUGUUGGCACAAGUAACCACAAUGCGGGUGAGAUCCCCGCACGCCGUAAGAGCAAGGUUUCCUUUGCGAUGUUGAUCAGCGAAGGGUUAGUCGGGCCUAAGGUUAUAGCGAAAGCUGAAGCCGAUGGACAUAGGGUUAAUAUUCCCUAACUUUUUAUUUGUGCGAUGGAGUGACGAAGGUUAGUAUGUCUUGCGCAUUAUUGGAUUUGCGUUUGUGUCAUCAGUGUGACUCUUAGGUAAAUCCGGGAGUCUGGUUUUAAUACCGACCGCAAGUGAAGCAGAAAUGCAUGGGUUCGCCCAGUGCAGAUAAGGCAAAGCAAUUUUCCGAGAAAAGCUUCUAAGCAUAACAAAUAAAAAACCGUACCUAAAACCGACACAGGUGCUCGAGUCGAGUAGACUAAGGCGAACGAGUGAUUGCUUCUCAAGGAACUCGGCAAAAAAGCAGCCGUAACUUCGGGAUAAGGCUUGCCUCCACCACUUUGUCUUUAAAGACGCAUAGAUAAAAUUACUUCAUUAGCGACGUAGAGCGAGAGAAAUGAAAAGGUAUUUUUUCAUUUCCAAGCCGAGGAGCUAAUAUAAGAGGUAACCCUGCUUUUAUUUGCAUCGUUGAGAAGAAUUUUUUCCUCCACGCAAUGUACACUUGUACAUCUUGGUCGUAAAAAAUUCUCCCCGCCUCGCAACUAAAGCAAUUUAAUCAAUGCUUAUGCAAUAGUGAUGGAGUCCGAAGAAUUGAGUGUAUCGAGACCGUGUUUAGUAUCAGAGCUGAUACUAAACACAAAAAAGUAUUUGAGAAAGUGAGUGAUUGUGGGUUUCGUAGAGGGGGGAUUCUGGAUUUAAAUAGAGAAGAUAAGAUUCGCAAGAAUCAAACGACACUCAGGUGUCAACUUCGUUGGGUGCUACCAUCCACUAUUUCUUUGAAUAAUCUUGUCAGACGGGAAACCGCAUAGACUAAAAGAUCGUAAUUAGAUCGAUUCGAAGGUUAACCAUGAACUCUCUCCAUUCUAUGAAACUCAUAAUCAUAGAUCGUAUCAAAUACAAAAAUGUUGACUAAUUUUUCUAGGACUUAGACAUCAUCUCUCAAAAAUCAUUUCGCAUAUCAUCAGUAAAUUUCUGCUGUGACUUUGAGAAAAAUUUUAUUCGAACCUCGGUUCGAGUCAAAUUUUUCUCUUCGUCUCGCUAGAAAUUUCCCUGAAGCUAAGCGAAGCAUUUUAUGAGAAAUGAUGUAGCACCGCUUUGAAAAUAAAGUGGUGGAGGCCGCAGCGAAAGAUUUCCUGCCAACUGUUUACCAAAAACACAGCUCCAUGCGAACUCGUAAGAGGAUGUAUAUGGGGUGACGCCUGACCAAUGCCAGAAGGUUAAAUACGGGUGGUGCCGAGCACCAUGAAGUUAAGUAGAAUUUCGUUGAAUAUUUUUGUUCAGUGGUUCUAUUUGAAAGCAUGGUGCUCGGUGCUGGCUUGUAUAAGCCCUGGUGAAUGUCGGCCGUAACUAUAACGGUCCUAAGGUUCCCUGCUUAUCAAUGAUGAGCAGGGAAGGACUAGGACUGUUAUAGAAAAAAGUAAACAAUUAAUUUAAAUUCAUUACAUGUUUAAGCUACCUGGCACGCAGUAAUGUGUGUUAGUCCAAUCAUGAUAAACGAGAGACCAACGUCAUGGACCCUACUUUUAAGGAAGAGGGUAAAGAUAGAGUCCAACUGAGAGGAAUAGUUGAGCGUAAUUCCUUGUCUGGUAAGUUCAGACGUGCACGAAUGGCGUAAUGAGUGGGAAACUGUCUCGAGAAGCAGCUCGGUGAAAAUACAAUACCGGUGAAGAUGCCGGUUACCUGCAGAUAGACGAAAAGACCCCGUGAGCUUUACUAUAGCUUAAUAUUGAACAUGUUUUGUUUCUGCGUAGCAUAGGUGGGAGGCUUUGAAGCGACCGUUUCGGUGGUCGUCGAGCCAACAGUGAAAUACCACCCUUAAUUGAGGCAUGUUCUAAUCUGUAAGGAAAAAACUUACGGAGACAGUAUUUGGCGGGUAGUUUGAGUGGGGCGCUCUCCUCCUAAAAGGUAACGGAGGAGUCUAUUAAGGUCCUCUAGGCGCGAAUGGAAACCGUGCCGAUAGCGUAAUGGCAAAAGAGGGCUUAACUGCAAGACGGACAUGUCGAGCAGGUGCGAAAGCAGAGCAUAGUGAACCGACGACACGCUUUAGAUGCGGUCGAAGAUUAACGGAUAAAAGCUACCACGGGGAUAACAGGCUAGUUCUGCCCAAGAGUUCAUAUCGACGGCAGAGUUCGGCACCUUAACAUAAUCGGGGUGCGUCAGGAGUAAUCCUGUAGCGACAAAUUUAUAAUCGUCAAUAAAUAAUAUAUAAACAAGAAAUCUUGGCUUAUAACGGUGAAACCCAUUUGCAUGAACAAUAAAUGGGCAAUACCGUGGGAAGUUUGCGUGUAAGAAAGCGAUCACUCUAAAUUUUUAGAGAGCUGCUACAUCCUUUGUGGAUGUGAUUAUACGUAUAACCCUGUAGAGACUUGUCACGUUAGCGCGUAGAGAUGCAACUAACAAAGUGACGGAGUUAUGAGAAAAUCAUAGCUAAUACGCCAACGCCUCUUUUGAUCGAGAGGGUGAAGAUAUAGUCCGAUCCUCGCAGUAAUGCGAGACAAAUACGACAGCGAUGUCGGCUCAUCUUAUCCUGGAGGUGGAGAAGCUUCCAAGGGUUUGGCUGUUCGCCAAUUAAAAAGAUACGUGAGCUGGGUUCAAACCGUCGUGAGACAGGUUGGUCUCCUAUCUUCUGCAGGCGUUGAAUUUUGAGGGGAUUUGCUCCUAGUACGAGAGGACCGGAGUGAACUGACCUCUGGUGUGGCUGCUGUCCUGCCAAGGGCACCGCAGCGUAGCUAUGUCGGGAAUGGAUAACCUCUGAAAGCAUCUAAGAGGGAAACCAACCCCAAGAUCAGAAUUCGUUUGAGGCCCGUAAGAGAUGAUUACGUUGAUAGGCUCUAUGUGUAAGACGAGUAAUCGUUUCAGCAGAGGAGUACUAAUACGCCGAUUCCUGGUGGG